RNAcentral lists this ribosomal RNA (1226 nucleotides) under bacterium. Its description in RNAcentral is "bacterial SSU rRNA". It matches the Rfam family "Bacterial small subunit ribosomal RNA", at positions 37 to 1299 of the family's 1533-position model. The record is from RNAcentral.
CAGCGGCGUGCUACCAUGCAGUCGAACGGAAGGCCCUUCGGGGUACUCGAGUGGCGAACGGGUGAGUAACACGUGGGUGAUCUGCCCUGCACUUUGGGAUAAGCCUGGGAAACUGGGUCUAAUACCGAAUAUGACCAUGCACUUCCUGGUGUGUGGUGGAAAGCUUUUGCGGUGUGGGAUGGGCCCGCGGCCUAUCAGCUUGUUGGUGGGGUAAUGGCCUACCAAGGCGACGACGGGUAGCCGGCCUGAGAGGGUGACCGGCCACACUGGGACUGAGAUACGGCCCAGACUCCUACGGGAGGCAGCAGUGGGGAAUAUUGCACAAUGGGCGCAAGCCUGAUGCAGCGACGCCGCGUGAGGGAUGACGGCCUUCGGGUUGUAAACCUCUUUCAGCACAGACGAAGCGCAAGUGACGGUAUGUGCAGAAGAAGGACCGGCCAACUACGUGCCAGCAGCCGCGGUAAUACGUAGGGUCCGAGCGUUGUCCGGAAUUACUGGGCGUAAAGAGCUCGUAGGUGGUUUGUCGCGUUGUUCGUGAAAACUCACAGCUUAACUGUGGGCGUGCGGGCGAUACGGGCAGACUUGAGUACUGCAGGGGAGACUGGAAUUCCUGGUGUAGCGGUGGAAUGCGCAGAUAUCAGGAGGAACACCGGUGGCGAAGGCGGGUCUCUGGGCAGUAACUGACGCUGAGGAGCGAAAGCGUGGGGAGCGAACAGGAUUAGAUACCCUGGUAGUCCACGCCGUAAACGGUGGGUACUAGGUGUGGGUUUCCUUCCUUGGGAUCCGUGCCGUAGCUAACGCAUUAAGUACCCCGCCUGGGGAGUACGGCCGCAAGGCUAAAACUCAAAGAAAUUGACGGGGGCCCGCACAAGCGGCGGAGCAUGUGGAUUAAUUCGAUGCAACGCGAAGAACCUUACCUGGGUUUGACAUGCACAGGACGACUGCAGAGAUGUGGUUUCCCUUGUGGCCUGUGUGCAGUGGUGCAUGGCUGUCGUCAGCUCGUGUCGUGAGAUGUUGGGUUAAGUCCCGCAACGAGCGCAACCCUUGUCCUAUGUUGCCAGCGGGUAUGCCGGGACUCGUAGAGACUGCCGGGUCACUCGAGAGUGGGGAUGACGUCAAGUCAUCAUGCCCUUAUGUCAAGGGCUUCACACAUGCUACAUUGCCGUACAAGGCUGCCAUGCGUGAGGGUGGAGCGCAAUUCUUUCCAAGGGCCGGUCUCUCCAAGU